Molecule: transfer RNA, 99 nt
Filed under: Oscillospiraceae bacterium
Lineage: Bacteria; Bacillati; Bacillota; Clostridia; Eubacteriales; Oscillospiraceae
Description: tRNA-Sec
Rfam family: Selenocysteine transfer RNA
Source: RNAcentral
GGGGGUGGAUCCGGCCCGGUGGCCGGCACGGACUUCAAAUCCGGAUGUGAGGCGGUUAGCGCCGUCUCUGGUGUGUUCGAUUCGCACACAUCCCCGCCA